AUUGAACGCUGGCGGCAGGCUUAACACAUGUAAGUCGAGCGGAGAUGAGGUGCUUGCACCUUAUCUUAGCGGCGGACGGGUGAGUAAUGCUUAGGAAUCUGCCUAUUAGUGGGGGACAACAUUCCGAAAGGAAUGCUAAUACCGCAUACGUCCUACGGGAGAAAGCAGGGGAUCUUCGGACCUUGCGCUAAUAGACGAGCCUAAGUCGGAUUAGCUAGUUGGUGGGGUAAAGGCCUACCAAGGCGACGAUCUGUAGCGGGUCUGAGAGGAUGAUCCGCCACACUGGGACUGAGACACGGCCCAGACUCCUACGGGAGGCAGCAGUGGGGAAUAUUGGACAAUGGGGGGAACCCUGAUCCAGCCAUGCCGCGUGUGUGAAGAAGGCCUUAUGGUUGUAAAGCACUUUAAGCGAGGAGGAGGCUACUGAGACUAAUACUCUUGGAUAGUGGACGUUACUCGCAGAAUAAGCACCGGCUAACUCUGUGCCAGCAGCCGCCGUAA
This 501-nucleotide ribosomal RNA is filed under the name uncultured bacterium. RNAcentral describes it as "partial 16S ribosomal RNA". It matches the Rfam family "Bacterial small subunit ribosomal RNA", at positions 30 to 523 of the family's 1533-position model. The record is from RNAcentral.